This 247-nucleotide ribosomal RNA is filed under the name uncultured bacterium. RNAcentral's name for it is "partial 16S ribosomal RNA". It matches the Rfam family "Bacterial small subunit ribosomal RNA", at positions 523 to 769 of the family's 1533-position model. The record is from RNAcentral.
AUACGGAGGGUGCAAGCGUUGUUCGGAAUUAUUGGGCGUAAAGCGCGUGUAGGCGGUCUUUUAAGUCUGAUGUGAAAGCCCCGGGCUCAACCUGGGAAGUGCAUUGGAAACUGAGAGACUUGAGUACGGGAGAGGGUAGUGGAAUUCCUAGUGUAGGAGUGAAAUCCGUAGAUAUCAGGAGGAACACCGGUGGCGAAGGCGGCUGCCUGGACCGAUAUUGACGCUGAGACGCGAAAGCGUGGGUAGC